Molecule: ribosomal RNA, 365 nt
Filed under: uncultured bacterium
Lineage: Bacteria
Description: bacterial SSU rRNA
Rfam family: Bacterial small subunit ribosomal RNA
Source: RNAcentral
GGAGGAUCCAAGCGUUAUCCGGAAUCAUUGGGUUUAAAGGGUCCAUAGGCGGUUUAAUAAGUCAGUGGUGAAAGCCCAUCGCUCAACGGUGGAACGGCCAUUGAUACUGUUAAACUUGAAUUAUUAGGAAGUAACUGGAAUAUGUAGUGUAGCGGUGAAAUGCUUAGAGAUUACAUGGAAUACCAAUUGCGAAGGCAGGUUACUACUAAUUGAUUGACGCUGAUGGACGAAAGCGUGGGUAGCGAACAGGAUUAGAUACCCUGGUAGUCCACGCCGUAAACGAUGGAUACUAGCUGUUGGGAGCAAUCUCAGUGGCUAAGCGAAAGUGAUAAGUAUCCCACCUGGGGAGUACGUUCGCAAGAAUG